UACGGGGGGGGCAAGCGUUGUUCGGAAUUACUGGGCGUAAAGGGUGCGUAGGCGGCCAUGUAAGUGAGGUGUGAAAUCCCUCGGCUCAACCGAGGAACUGCGCUUCAUACUGCAUGGCUUGAGGGAGACAGGGGUAAGCGGAACUGAUGGUGGAGCGGUGAAAUGCGUUGAUAUCAUCAGGAACACCGGUGGCGAAAGCGGCUUACUGGGUCUCUUCUGACGCUGAGGUACGAAAGCUAGGGUAGCGAACGGG
RNAcentral lists this ribosomal RNA (253 nucleotides) under uncultured bacterium. RNAcentral's name for it is "partial 16S ribosomal RNA". It matches the Rfam family "Bacterial small subunit ribosomal RNA", at positions 524 to 776 of the family's 1533-position model. The record is from RNAcentral.